Molecule: ribosomal RNA, 489 nt
Filed under: uncultured bacterium
Lineage: Bacteria
Description: partial 16S ribosomal RNA
Rfam family: Bacterial small subunit ribosomal RNA
Source: RNAcentral
AUUGAACGCUGGCGGCAGGCCUAACACAUGCAAGUCGAACGGUAACAGGAAGCAGCUUGCUGCUUCGCUGACGAGUGGCGGACGGGUGAGUAAUGUCUGGGAAGCUGCCUGAUGGAGGGGGAUAACUACUGGAAACGGUAGCUAAUACCGCAUAAUGUCGCAAGACCAAAGAGGGGGACCUUCGGGCCUCUUGCCAUCGGAUGUGCCCAGAUGGGAUUAGCUUGUUGGUGGGGUAACGGCUCACCAAGGCGACGAUCCCUAGCUGGUCUGAGAGGAUGACCAGCCAAACUGGAACUGAGACACGGUCCAGACUCCUACGGGAGGCAGCAGUGGGGAAUAUUGCACAAUGGGCGCAAGCCUGAUGCAGCCAUGCCGCGUGUAUGAAGAAGGCCUUCGGGUUGUAAAGUACUUUCAGCGGGGAGGAAGGGAGUAAAGUUAAUACCUUUGCUCAUUGACGUUACCCGCAGAAGAAGCACCGGCUAACUCCGU